RNAcentral lists this ribosomal RNA (727 nucleotides) under uncultured archaeon. RNAcentral's name for it is "bacterial SSU rRNA". It matches the Rfam family "Archaeal small subunit ribosomal RNA", at positions 54 to 769 of the family's 1478-position model. The record is from RNAcentral.
CGACCCGGACUAUGGCGGGAAGUGGCAGACUGCUCAGUAACACGUAGCUAACCUACCCUUGGGACGGGUACAACCCCGGGAAACUGAGGUUAAUACCCGAUAGGUGUGGAUUCCUGGAAUGGUACCACGCCCAAAUGUAACGCGUCCAUGUAUGCGUGAACGCCCAAGGAUGGGGCUGCGGCCGAUCAGGCAGUUGGUGAGGUAACGGCUCACCAAACCUUUGACCGGUACGGGCCAUGAGAGUGGUAGCCCGGAGAUGGGCACUGAGACAAGGGCCCAGGCCCUACGGGGCGCAGCAGGCGCGAAACCUCCACAAUUCACGAAAGUGAGAUGGGGUUACCUCGAGUGCCGCCUGAUGAAGGCGGCUUUUCCAUUGUGUAAUGAGCCGUGGGAAUAAGAGGGGGGCAAGACUGGUGUCAGCCGCCGCGGUAACACCAGCCCCUCGAGUGGUGGGGAUGAUUAUUUGGCCUAAAGCGUCCGUAGCCGGCCCUGUAAAUCUCUCGUUAAAUCCAGCGUCCUAAGCGUUGGGCUGCGAGGGAAACUGCAGAGCUAGAGGGUGGGAGAGGUCAGCGGUAUUCCUGGGGUAGGGGCGAAAUCCAUUGAUCCCAGGAGGACCACCAGUGGCGAAGGCUGCUGACUUGAACACGCCUGACGGUGAGGGACGAAAGCUGGGGUAGCGAAUCGGAUUAGAUACCCGGGUAGUCCCAGCUGUAAACGAUGCAGGCUA